Molecule: small nucleolar RNA, 206 nt
Organism: Pteronotus mesoamericanus
Lineage: Eukaryota; Metazoa; Chordata; Mammalia; Chiroptera; Mormoopidae
Product: small nucleolar RNA SNORA73 family
Exons: 1
Source: RefSeq, a predicted model, not a curated record
CUAACAUGGAUACCCCUGGGAGAUCACUCCCCUUGAGUCUCUGUCCAGGUGGUGUAGUGGAGCAUAGGGCUCUGCCUUGUGAUGGACAGUCCCUUUCUGCAGUGUUGGAGAGAAAGCUGGACCUUGAGUCUGUACCUGUAUAUUUCUGCAGCUUCUCAGAGUUCUGUGGACAAUGACUGAAGAGAUAAGCCAUGCAGAAAACAUCU